This 208-nucleotide ribosomal RNA is filed under the name uncultured bacterium. Its description in RNAcentral is "partial 16S ribosomal RNA". It matches the Rfam family "Bacterial small subunit ribosomal RNA", at positions 568 to 774 of the family's 1533-position model. The record is from RNAcentral.
UGCGUAGGCGGCAUGUCAAGCCAGAGGUGAAGGGCAUUGGCUCAACCAAUGUAAGCCUUUGGAACUGACGUGCUUGAGUACAGGAGAGGUAAGUGGAAUUCCUAGUGUAGAGGUGAAAUUCGUAGAUAUUAGGAGGAACACCAGUGGCGAAGGCGACUUACUGGACUGUAACUGACGCUGAGGCACGAAAGACGUGGGUAGGCGAACA